UCGGGAAUUUUGGGCAAUGGGCGAAAGCCUGACCCAGCAACGCCGCGUGAAGGAUGAAGUAUUUCGGUAUGUAAACUUCGAAAGAAUAGGAAGAAUUAAUGACGGUACUAUUUAUAAGGUCCGGCUAACUACGUGCCAGCAGCCGCGGUAAUACGUAGGGACCAAGCGUUGUUCGGAUUUACUGGGCGUAAAGGGCGCGUAGGCGGCAUGACAAGUCACUUGUGAAAUCUCCGGGCUUAACUCGGAACGGCCAAGUGAUACUGUCACGCUAGAGUAUUGGAGGGGCAAUCGGAAUUCUUGGUGUAGCGGUGAAAUGCGUAGAUAUCAAGAGGAACACCUGAGGUGAAGACGGGUUGCUGGCCAAAUACUGACGCUGAGGCGCGAAAGCCAGGGGAGCAAACGGG
Molecule: ribosomal RNA, 404 nt
Filed under: uncultured bacterium
Lineage: Bacteria
Also listed under: 1 other name
Description: bacterial SSU rRNA
Rfam family: Bacterial small subunit ribosomal RNA
Source: RNAcentral